This 253-nucleotide ribosomal RNA is filed under the name uncultured bacterium. Its description in RNAcentral is "partial 16S ribosomal RNA". It matches the Rfam family "Bacterial small subunit ribosomal RNA", at positions 524 to 776 of the family's 1533-position model. The record is from RNAcentral.
UACGUGGGCAGCGAGCGUUGUUCGGAGUUACUGGGCGUAAAGAGUGCGUAGGCGGUUUUCUAAGUUUGGUGUGAAAUCCCCGGGCUUAACCUGGGAAUUGCGUUGGAGACUGCAAGGCUGGAAUCUGGCAGAGGGGGGUAGAAUUCCACGUGUAGCAGUGAAAUGCGCAGAUAUCGGGAGGAACACCAAUGGCGAAGGCAGCUUGCUGGGACGGUACUGACGCUGAGGCGCGAAAGCGUGGGGAGCAAACAGG